CUACGGGUCGCAGCAGUGAGGAAUAUUGCACAAUGGGGGGAACCCUGAUGCAGCAACGCCGCGUGGAGGAUGACGCAUUUCGGUGUGUAAACUCCUUUUAUAUGUCAAGAAAAUGACGGUAGCAUAUGAAUAAGCACCGGCUAACUCCGUGCCAGCAGCCGCGGUAAUACGGAGGGGUGCAAGCGUUACUCGGAAUCACUGGGCGUAAAGGACGCGUAGGCGGGUUGGAAAGUCAGGUGUGAAAUCCUACAGCUUAACUGUAGAACUGCACUUGAAACUUCUAAUCUAGAGCAUGGGAGGGGGAGAUGGAAUUAGUGGUGUAGGGGUAAAAUCCGUAGAUAUCACUAGGAAUACCUAAAGCGAAGGCGAUCUCCUGGAACAUUACUGACGCUAAGGCGUGAAAGCGUGGGGAGCAAACAGGAUUAGAUACCCGAGUAGUC
This 440-nucleotide ribosomal RNA is filed under the name uncultured bacterium. RNAcentral's name for it is "partial 16S ribosomal RNA". It matches the Rfam family "Bacterial small subunit ribosomal RNA", at positions 339 to 795 of the family's 1533-position model. The record is from RNAcentral.